UGGGGAAUAUUGCACAAUGGGCGCAAGCCUGAUGCAGCCAUGCCGCGUGUAUGAAGAAGGCCUUCGGGUUGUAAAGUACUUUCAGUCGGGAGGAAGGUGUCAAGGUUAAUAACCUUGGCAAUUGACGUUACCGACAGAAGAAGCACCGGCUAACUCCGUGCCAGCAGCCGCGGUAAUACGGAGGGUGCAAGCGUUAAUCGGAAUUACUGGGCGUAAAGCGCACGCAGGCGGUUUGUUAAGUCAGAUGUGAAAUCCCCGGGCUCAACCUGGGAACUGCAUCUGAUACUGGCAAGCUUGAGUGUCGUAGAGGGGGGUAGAAUUCCAGGUGUAGCGGUGAAAUGCGUAGAGAUCUGGAGGAAUACCGGUGGCGAAGGCGGCCCCCUGGACGAAGACUGACGCUCAGGUGCGAAAGCGUGGGGAGCAAACAGG
Molecule: ribosomal RNA, 429 nt
Filed under: Chloroflexota bacterium
Lineage: Bacteria; Bacillati; Chloroflexota
Description: Chloroflexi bacterium partial 16S ribosomal RNA
Rfam family: Bacterial small subunit ribosomal RNA
Source: RNAcentral